This 484-nucleotide ribosomal RNA is filed under the name uncultured bacterium. Its description in RNAcentral is "partial 16S ribosomal RNA". It matches the Rfam family "Bacterial small subunit ribosomal RNA", at positions 30 to 507 of the family's 1533-position model. The record is from RNAcentral.
AUUGAACGCUGGCGGCAGGCCUAACACAUGCAAGUCGAGCGGAUGAAGGGAGCUUGCUCCUGGAUUCAGCGGCGGACGGGUGAGUAAUGCCUAGGAAUCUGCCUGGUAGUGGGGGAUAACGUCCGGAAACGGGCGCUAAUACCGCAUACGUCCUGAGGGAGAAAGUGGGGGAUCUUCGGACCUCACGCUAUCAGAUGAGCCUAGGUCGGAUUAGCUAGUUGGUGGGGUAAAGGCCUACCAAGGCGACGAUCCGUAACUGGUCUGAGAGGAUGAUCAGUCACACUGGAACUGAGACACGGUCCCGACUCCUACGGGAGGCAGCAGUGGGGAAUAUUGGACAAUGGGCGAAAGCCUGAUCCAGCCAUGCCGCGUGUGUGAAGAAGGUCUUCGGAUUGGAAAGCACUUUAAGUUGGGAGGAAGGGCAGUAAGUUAAUACCUUGCUGUUUUGACGUUACCAACAGAAUAAGCACCGGCUAACUUCGUG